GGUCUUGACAUCCCGGGAAUCUUUCUGAAAGGAGAGAGUGCCUCGCAAGAGGAGCCUGGUGACAGGUGCUGCAUGGCUGUCGUCAGCUCGUGUCGUGAGAUGUUGGGUUAAGUCCCGCAACGAGCGCAACCCUUAUCCCCAGUUGCCAUCAGGUAAAGCUGGGAACUCUGGGGAGACUGCCGGUGAUAAACCGGAGGAAGGCGGGGAUGACGUCAAGUCCUCAUGGCCCUUACAUCCCGGGCUACACACGUGCUACAAUGGCAGGUACAGAGGGCUGCAAAGCCGCGAGGUAGAGCGAAUCCCAGAAAACCUGUCUCAGUCCGGAUUGAAGUCUGCAACUCGACUUCAUGAAGGCGGAAUCGCUAGUAACCGCGAAUCAGCAGGUCGCGGUGAAUACGUUCCCGGGCCUU
Molecule: ribosomal RNA, 410 nt
Filed under: uncultured Latescibacterota bacterium
Lineage: Bacteria; Pseudomonadati; Candidatus Latescibacterota
Description: bacterial SSU rRNA
Rfam family: Bacterial small subunit ribosomal RNA
Source: RNAcentral